Molecule: ribosomal RNA, 337 nt
Filed under: Pontoporeia femorata
Lineage: Eukaryota; Metazoa; Arthropoda; Malacostraca; Amphipoda; Pontoporeiidae
Description: partial large subunit ribosomal RNA
Rfam family: Eukaryotic large subunit ribosomal RNA
Source: RNAcentral
GGAAAAGAAACCAAUAGGGAUUCCCUUCGUAGGGGCGACCGAAGUGGGAAGAGCCCAGCGCAGAACCUCCUGGGCCACCCGGCCUGCGGCGGAAUGUUGCGUAAAGGGAAAGGUCGCAGUCAAACCCUACAGUCGCACGAUCUCUAAGUUAGCCACGAAUCGGCUGUCCCAUCUAAUAGCGGGAUGACUCCAUGGAGGGUGUAAGACCCGUUUGGGCGUGCGUAAAAACUGUAUGGGCUCGGCCUUUUUUCCCUGAGAGUCGCGUUGCUUGAGCAUGCAGCCCAAAGCAGGUCGUAAACUCGAUCUAAGUCUAAAUAUUUCCACAGGACCGAUAGCA